This 460-nucleotide ribosomal RNA is filed under the name uncultured bacterium. RNAcentral's name for it is "partial 16S ribosomal RNA". It matches the Rfam family "Bacterial small subunit ribosomal RNA", at positions 338 to 795 of the family's 1533-position model. The record is from RNAcentral.
CCUACGGGAGGCAGCAGUGAGGAAUAUUGGUCAAUGGACGAGAGUCUGAACCAGCCAAGUCGCGUGAAGGAUGACUGCCCUAUGGGUUGUAAACUUCUUUUAUAUGGGAAUAAAACAGGGUAUGCAUACCCUCUUGUAUGUAUCAUAUGAAUAAGGAUCGGCUAACUCCGUGCCAGCAGCCGCGGUAAUACGGAGGAUCCGAGCGUUAUCCGGAUUUAUUGGGUUUAAAGGGGGCGUAGGUGGAUUGUUAAGUCAGUUGUGAAAGUUUGGGGCUCAACCGUAAAAUUGCAGUUGAAACUGGCAGACUUGAGUACAGUAGAGGUAGGCGGAAUUCGUGGUGUAGCGGUGAAAUGCUUAGAGAUCACGAAGAACACCGAUUGCGAAGGCAGCUCACUGGACUGCAACUGACGCUGAGGCUCGAAAGUGUGGGUAGCAAACAGGAUUAGAUACCCGUGUAGUC